CAAGUCGAACGGAAAGGCCCCUUCGGGGGUACUCGAGUGGCGAACGGGUGAGUAACACGUGGGCAAUCUGCCCUGCACUUCGGGAUAAGCCUGGGAAACUGGGUCUAAUACCGGAUAGGACCUUUAGGCGCAUGUCUUUAGGUGGAAAGCUUUUGCGGUGUGGGAUGGGCCCGCGGCCUAUCAGCUUGUUGGUGGGGUGAUGGCCUACCAACGCGACGACAGGUAGCCGGCCUGAGAGGGUGUCCGGCCACACUGGGACUGAGAUACGGCCCAGACUCCUACGGGAGGCAACAGUGGGGAAUAUUGCACAAUGGGCGCAAGCCUGAUGCAGCGACGCCGCGUGGGGGAUGACAGCCUUCGGGUUGUAAACCUCUUUCACCAUCGACGAAAGUCCGGGUUUUCUCGGAUUGACGGUAGGUGGAGAAGAAGCACCGGCCAACUACGUGCCAGCAGCCGCGGUAAUACGUAGGGUGCGAGCGUUGUCCGGAAUUACUGGGCGUAAAGAGCUCGUAGGUGGUUUGUCGCGUUGUUCGUGAAAUCUCACGGCUUAACUGUGAGCGUGCGGGCGAUACGGGCAGACUAGAGUACUUCAGGGGAGACUGGAAUUCCUGGUGUAGCGGUGGAAUGCGCAGAUAUCAGGAGGAACACCGGUGGCGAAGGCGGGUCUCUGGGCAGUAACUGACGCUGAGGAGCGAAAGCGUGGGGAGCGAAC
RNAcentral lists this ribosomal RNA (712 nucleotides) under uncultured Mycobacteriaceae bacterium. RNAcentral's name for it is "SSU rRNA". It matches the Rfam family "Bacterial small subunit ribosomal RNA", at positions 58 to 773 of the family's 1533-position model. The record is from RNAcentral. Lineage: Bacteria; Bacillati; Actinomycetota; Actinomycetes; Mycobacteriales; Mycobacteriaceae.